Small nuclear RNA from Mustela erminea (ermine), 104 nucleotides. NCBI's taxonomy places the organism in Eukaryota, Metazoa, Chordata, Mammalia, Carnivora, Mustelidae. The record is from RefSeq and is a predicted model, not a curated record.
UUGCUUCAGCAGCACAUACACUAAAAUUGAAAUGAUACAGAGAAGAUAAGCAUGGCCCCUAUGCAAGGAUGGCAUGCAAAUUCAAGUACAUAUUUCAUUUGUAU